This 76-nucleotide transfer RNA is filed under the name Paroceanicella profunda. RNAcentral describes it as "Paraoceanicella profunda tRNA-Val". It matches the Rfam family "tRNA". Rfam says of the family: Transfer RNA (tRNA) molecules are approximately 80 nucleotides in length. Their secondary structure includes four short double-helical elements and three loops (D, anti-codon, and T loops). Lineage: Bacteria; Pseudomonadati; Pseudomonadota; Alphaproteobacteria; Rhodobacterales; Paracoccaceae. The record is from RNAcentral. RNAcentral also lists the same sequence under 1 other name.
GGGACGUUAGCUCAGUUGGUAGAGCACAGUGUUCACAUCGCUGGGGUCAGUGGUUCGAGCCCACUACGUCCCACCA